CUAUCCUUCAGGAAAAUAUGCUGCUGUCCUCCUGUUACCUACGAACACUGUUUUUGUGUGUUUUUGAUUGUUUGUUUUUGUUUUUGUUUUUCGAUUCAUCUCAUGCAGUGGCUAUAAAGCCAAACACUAGCUCUUCACAUUUCCAUGGAGUGAUCCUCGGAAUUUUUCAUGCUGAGCAAACUACAUCUGGUUUACGGAGCAGUCCAGGACAGCCCACACGAGAAUGCAAACCACUCCCGUUUCGUGAUCUGGACUGCCAAAUUCAGUGAACUUUGAUGACACACCUCCCCGACCAACCGGCAAAGAGGAGGGCGGUUUCAACAUCUUGGACUAGCUGUGAACCACUAUUGUAACCUGAGGGGUGCAGACGGCGAAUUCAAGUGAGAAUUUCUGGCCAGCUUAUUAGCAUUAAA
Long non-coding RNA from Acanthaster planci (crown-of-thorns starfish), 413 nucleotides. The record is from RefSeq and is a predicted model, not a curated record. Lineage: Eukaryota; Metazoa; Echinodermata; Asteroidea; Valvatida; Acanthasteridae.